RNAcentral lists this ribosomal RNA (446 nucleotides) under uncultured bacterium. RNAcentral describes it as "bacterial SSU rRNA". It matches the Rfam family "Bacterial small subunit ribosomal RNA", at positions 217 to 662 of the family's 1533-position model. The record is from RNAcentral.
GGUAUGGGAUGAGCUUGCGUCCGAUUAGCUAGUUGGCGGGGCAACGGCCCACCAAGGCGACGAUCGGUAGCCGGCCUGAGAGGGUGAUCGGCCACAUUGGGACUGAGAUACGGCCCAGACUCCUACGGGAGGCAGCAGUAGGGAAUAUUGCACAAUGGGGGAAACCCUGAUGCAGCAACGCCACGUGUGGGAAGAAGCAUUUCGGUGUGUAAACCACUGUCAUGAGGGAAUAAGGCCCGCCUUCGGACGGGAUUGAAUGUACCUUGAGAGGAAGCACCGGCAAACUUCGUGCCAGCAGCCGCGGUAAUACGAGGGGUGCAAGCGUUGUUCGGAAUUACUGGGCGUAAAGGGAGCGUAGGCGGAGAUUCAAGCGGAUUGUACAAUCUCGGGGCCCAACCCCGGCUCUGUAGUCCGAACUGGAUCUCUUGGAUAGUUCAGGGGCAGGC